RNA transcript from Magnolia sinica, 2103 nucleotides. It is a transcript of the gene named RNA-binding KH domain-containing protein RCF3-like, with no coding region annotated. Lineage: Eukaryota; Viridiplantae; Streptophyta; Magnoliopsida; Magnoliales; Magnoliaceae. The transcript has 5 exons. The record is from RefSeq and is a predicted model, not a curated record.
UUUUUGUGGGGGAUCUCCCAUAAGCCAUGUGGCCCAUCAUAUGGGUCAUUCUAUCAUCCAAAGGCAAGCCUCAUAUGUUCAGUUCAUUUGCUCAGACCAAAUGUUUUUUGUUGUUGUUGUUGUUGAUGGAACACUAGCAUUUUUUCUAUGCCCCAAAUAACACCUGCUUCCUUUGGUUUUCUGUAGUUUUUACUCCUUUUUGGCUUUGUUGUGUAGGCCUGCGAGAGGAAGAAGCACUGGCAACAGCAGCUCCCCUUCUCCAAGAGCUAAUUAGCACCUUGGUUCUUAGCAGGUAGGUAUGCCUCUCUCUCUCUCUCUCUCUCUCCUGGUUUCAUCAUGUCUGUUGGGUGCAAUCUGGGAAGCGAAAGGCUGGAACAUGCAGAAAGUAACUUCAGAAGCUGGAAGUUGGUGCUGAUAUCAAAGACACUGUAGGUUGGUGGGUUUUGGUGUCCAAAGAGUUGUGUUGGGUCUUCAGUACUCAUGUAUGGAUUGGCUAGUUUAGGCAUUUUACUUUAGAACAUGUAUGGUGCUAUUGACAUAGGUGGGUUAUGGAUAAAUUCCUACUUGGAUUUUUUUUAGUACCCCCGAAAGCAUUGAGGCAGUUGAAUUUGGUCAUGAUAUAAACAUGCUCUAGAAACAUAUGGUUAUAAAUGCAUGGAUUGUUGAUAUAUUUACCUGUUGGUUAUUAUCUCUGCUAUCAUUUAAGUACCGUGAGAUGGUUUGGCAUUCAUUUAUUGGAUUUUUCUACAUGAAGAACAUGUCAUUGUUCUUAUUCUUUUAAAAUUUUAAAAAUGUUUUCAAUGUGCAAGCGGCAGUCUCUAGUAUGUAUUCAUUGGAUUAAAAUGACCUCUUAUUUCUUUGAAAACAUAGGCAUGUUAUUUAGGUCAAUUUGUACUUCAAAAUGGACAACUUAUUGUUAAUAUUAUUUGUAGAUUAUUUGCUUGAUUUGUUGUCAUCAUUGCCAUCACUUUAAUGGCCACAAUAUUAUCAUUUGGAUGGAAUUGUCUAAUAGGAGUGAAAAAAUAAAAUGACAAAUGGGAAAUGCUUAUCAUCUUCCCCACAUGCUGCUGAAUACACCUUAUGCAUGUUUGGUGAUCCACAUCAUUAAUCUGGUGGAUACACCAUUGAAGGGGCCCCAAAUUGCCUCAAACACAAUCCAAAUCCAACAGAAAAAGGACAGGUGAAUGACCACUACCAAAAAACUAGGCAAAGCCAACGGACUUGGACUUGGGGUACUUGGUAAUUUUGGAGUCCUUCUUGGUUAGGGUUUGGGCUGAAAGUACGAGUGCUGGAGCCGACACUUUCGGAGUUCGAACUCAUUCUUUUGAAAAAUAGAAGAAUGGGAAUAUUAGUAAAUAUGGAUUUUCUUGUUAAGAAGAAAAUGGAAGAUGGAUUGAAAAAACAUAAAAGAGAAAUUUUUUUUCUUCUUCUUUUUUGCUUCAAGAGAGAGAGAGAUGGAGAGGUACUCAUAAACAUUAUGGUAUGUUCUCUUUGAAGCAGCCAUUGAUCGAUCUCCCUCCAAUAGCUGAAGAGAAUGGAAGAAAUCAGAGCACACGAAGUGAAAGGUGUUGAUUGGAUUCAUCUGCUAGCACAAUGGUUUGAUUUUCAGAUUCAUUGCUCCGAUGACAACCGGAUAUCAGAUUCAUUGCUCCUUGCGUGUGUACUAGUUGAUUUUGGAGGUUCUUUUAUAAUGAGCAUACUGUUCCCAGCCUCAUCAUGAGAUCAGGAAGCAAGCUUGCUCAGAUCAGCGACGUAACAUUGCAUGCAGAAUGUCAGGGGCUACUGUCAGCCUCAUGAAAGAUAGACCUGAGCUAACUAAAAAGGUGGUCCAAAUAUCCGGUAGUUCCGAGCAGGCUGAGAGAGCCCAGAGCCUUCUCCAGGUAUUUGUUCUAAGCACACAAGAUGCCACACCAAGCUAAAUCUAAGCUAUGGGUGUUGUAAAGCCGAGAUCUUGUAAGGUAGCAAUGGAUGCUUUCAGUUUUCACCAGUAAUCUGUUUUCCCAGAAUCUGGCAGUUAUCAACAAUCAUUGUAUAAAAGGUAAGAAUGGUUUAUUUUUCUUUCUCUUUUCUUUUUCAUUUUAAUGUCAAUCUACAGUUCUACGA